UAGGGAAUCUUCGGCAAUGGGGGGAACCCUGACCGAGCAACGCCGCGUGAGUGAAGAAGGUUUUCGGAUCGUAAAGCUCUGUUGUUAAGGAAGAACGAGUGUGAGAAUGGAAAGUUCAUGCUGUGACGGUACUUAACCAGAAAGGGACGGCUAACUACGUGCCAGCAGCCGCGGUAAUACGUAGGUCCCGAGCGUUGUUCGGAUUUAUUGGGCGUAAAGCGAGCGCAGGCGGUUAGAAAAGUCUGAAGUGAAAGGCAGUGGCUCAACCAUUGUAGGCUUUGGAAACUGUUUAACUUGAGUGCAUAAGGGAGGAGUGGAAUUCCAUGUGUAGCGGUAAAAUACGUAGAUAUAUGGGGGAACACCGGUGGCGAAAGCGACUCUCUGGUCUGUAACUGACGCUGAGGCUCGAAAGCGUGGGGAGCGAACAGG
RNAcentral lists this ribosomal RNA (429 nucleotides) under Verrucomicrobiota bacterium. RNAcentral's name for it is "Verrucomicrobia bacterium partial 16S ribosomal RNA". It matches the Rfam family "Bacterial small subunit ribosomal RNA", at positions 355 to 776 of the family's 1533-position model. The record is from RNAcentral. Lineage: Bacteria; Pseudomonadati; Verrucomicrobiota.